This 374-nucleotide ribosomal RNA is filed under the name uncultured bacterium. RNAcentral describes it as "bacterial SSU rRNA". It matches the Rfam family "Bacterial small subunit ribosomal RNA", at positions 524 to 898 of the family's 1533-position model. The record is from RNAcentral.
UACGUAGGCAGCAAGCGUUGUUCGGAAUUACUGGGCGUAAAGAGUGUGUAGGCGGUUUUCUAAGUUUGGUGUGAAAUCUCCCGGCUUAACUGGGAGGGUGCGCCGAAAACUGGAAGGCUUGAGUGCCGGAGAGGAUAGCGGAAUUCCUGGUGUAGCGGUGAAAUGCGUAGAUAUCAGGAGGAACACCUGCGGUGUAGACGGCUAUCUGGACGGCCACUGACGCUGAGACACGAAAGCGUGGGUAGCAAACAGGAUUAGAUACCCUGGUAGUCCACGCCCUAAACGAUGCAUACUUGGUGUGAGCCAUUCAUUUGGUUCGUGCCGGAGCUAACGCGUUAAGUAUGCCGCCUGGGGAGUACGGUCGCAAGGCUGAA